This 467-nucleotide ribosomal RNA is filed under the name uncultured bacterium. Its description in RNAcentral is "partial 16S ribosomal RNA". It matches the Rfam family "Bacterial small subunit ribosomal RNA", at positions 28 to 507 of the family's 1533-position model. The record is from RNAcentral.
GAUGAACGCUGGCGGCGUGCUUAACACAUGCAAGUCGAACGAUGAUGCCCAGCUUGCUGGGUGGUUUAGUGGCGAACGGGUGAGUAACACGUGAGUAACCUGCCCUUGACUCUGGGAUAAGCCUGGGAAACUGGGUCUAAUACCGGAUACGACCAUCUGGCGAAUGUUAUGGUGGUGGAAAGCUUUUGUGGUUUUGGAUGGACUCGCGGCCUAUCAGCUUGUUGGUGGGGCAAUGGCCUACCAAGGCGACGACGGGUAGCCGACCUGAGAGGGUGACCGGCCACACUGGGACUGAGACACGGACCAGACUCCUAUGUGGGGCAGAAGUGGGGAAUAUUGCACAAUGGGAGCAAGCCUGAUGCGACGACGCCGCGUGAGGGAUGACGGCCUUCGGGUUGUAAACCUCUUUCAGUAAGGAAGAAGCGAAAGUGACGGUACCUGCAGAAGAAGCGCCGGCUAACUACGUG